UACGGGAGGCAGCAGUGGGGAAUAUUGCACAAUGGGCGCAAGCCUGAUGCAGCCAUGCCGCGUGUAUGAAGAAGGCCUUCGGGUUGUAAAGUACUUUCAGUCGUGAGGAAGGUGUUAAGGUUAAUAACCUUAGCAAUUGACGUUAGCGACAGAAGAAGCACCGGCUAACUCCGUGCCAGCAGCCGCGGUAAUACGGAGGGUGCGAGCGUUAAUCGGAAUUACUGGGCGUAAAGGGCACGCAGGCGGUUAAUUAAGUUGGAUGUGAAAUCCCCGGGCUUAACCUGGGAAUGGCAUUCAAGACUGGUUAGCUAGAGUCUUGUAGAGGGGGUAGAAUUCCAUGUGUAGCGGUGAAAUGCGUAGAGAUGUGGAGGAAUACCGGGUGGCGAAGGCGGCCCCUGGGACAAGACUGACGCUCAUGUGCGAAAGCGUGGGGAGCGAAACAGGGAUUAGAUACC
Molecule: ribosomal RNA, 455 nt
Filed under: uncultured bacterium
Lineage: Bacteria
Description: bacterial SSU rRNA
Rfam family: Bacterial small subunit ribosomal RNA
Source: RNAcentral